GUGGCAAAACACAAACACGCAUACACGAACCGCCUUUCCGGUGUCCCUCCCUGUCGCGCACUUCUUCGCACAGGCUUCCACGGCAAGGAGCUGGCAAACACACACUGGCGUUAACAACAACGGAAACGAAAAGUAAAAGGCAUCGUCAAGAAGUGAGCACACGGAAGUGGAGAAGGGAAGGGGUGGGAGUAUCUCUUAGCAUCCGCAGCGCGCCCGCACACGCACACACACACACACACACACACACGUGCAAAGAGGAGGAAAGCGAGGUACCUGCGGCAAUUGGCAAAGGAAAACACCCAAGCAACAACAGGCAGUGUCUCGAUAAGGAGGGAGGGGAACGACGACGACGAAGGGACGUCUCGCAUUUUUCGCCGUUGCAGCAGGCGUUGUGUGCCUCUGUGCGCCGAUCUUGAAGCUUCUUUUGUGUGUGUGUGUGUCUUUUGAUUUGCUUUGCAGCGUGGUACUCCUUCCUCUACGUUACACGCGACUUUCUUUUACAUGCUCUUAACAUGCACUUAACAGUAACCGACUCGACUAAUAAAAAGACACAGACAGACGCACUCACACGCCUGCUCCUCACCCGUCGCCUACACCCCGCACACCCACCCCUGUUACGUUGUGCUCGCUUUCCAUCGCCGAGUCGGCGUACGUUUCAGCCGUUGGUGCCCUUCCCUCCCUCUCUCCUCUCCCCUUUUGUGUCUGCUCUUAGGCAGUGGCAGUGCAAGUGUGACGGAGUAGGGUAGGUGGCUAAGUUCGCCGGCGUCCACGUGUGUGGCUCCGAGAGCUCCACUCGCACAUACACCACACGAAGCAGCACCUCUCUCGACGGACACUACUUGAGGAUAAGUUGCUGAUUUUCUCUCGCUUGUCCUCACCCCCGUUGCCCUCACCUGCUGCACUGUCGGCGAUGGGGCGAAUCGACUCCUCUUGUGUCGCUGCCACGGUGACGCCUAGCAAGGUCGGCGCAUCGUCGUCUUGUCCCGGCACGGCGACAAGCACUGGCAAGAUAGACGAGCCUGCUUCUCGCGCCGCUACCCCGCAGGGCCGGGCGCAGCGAUGUGGCCGAGCGCGACCCGCCCAGAUGCACAACGGCCUCAGUGCGGGGAUGUGUGAUAACCAACAGCAGCACGCCGCAGGCGUUUGGCAGUUGAUUGCAGGGCCGCAGAGCGCCUCCACGACUCCGCCGCCGCUCGUGAUGGGUGACGGCACAGGCGGCGAGGAUCAUGCGCAGGCUGCCCACGCCGGCGUCCGGUGGACUAAGCACUCGUGGGAAAAGGGCAACGACUGCCCUGCGGGUAGCGCGUACGGGUCUUUUGUGGGCGCGCCGCUGCGCAGGCUGCCGCCAACGCCUCCGUUCCCUGGUGUGCGUCUUCCCGCCUGGUGUCGGUCCGCGUCGGCGACGGCGUAUCCGCUCUCCGAGGACGGCCUCACAAACGAGCUGCUGGACUUCUUCUAUUAUCUGCAGUUGACCUCCCAUGAGGAAGCGGCACGGGAGCGGCUGCUUGGCUACGUGCAGGCGUGCGUGGCGAAGUUGUGGGGUCCCUGUAAACCGGGGAGCGAAGCCGAGGGAACAGCACAGGUGAUGCUGUACGGCAGCUACGCUCUAGGGCUUUCUCUUCCAAGCAGCGACAUUGAUCUUGCCCUGACUUUCCCGGCCGAGGAGCAGGUGGACGUCGCGACCAUUGCAGUGGAGGAAAGGAGUGGGGAUCGCGCUCUCCUGGCGCCGGCGGUCUCGAAGAAACGCCAGGCGCUGCACCUCGAGCGGCUCCACGAUCUUGCCGAGCAGCUGCGGAACUCUGCGACGUUUCCCGAGUUGGAGGUAGAGGUGUAUGAUCAGUGCCGUGUGCCGCGCAUUCAUCUACGAGACAGGACUUGUGGUGGCGUGUCGUGUGACAUCAACAGCUCCUUCGCCUCAGCACGCAUCGCCCGCAUCGUGGCGCGGCAGCGGCUAUGGCUACAGGACUCCCCGCUCGCGGCGUUCCUCGUGCGCGUCACCAAGGCAGCCGUGAAGCAGUGGGGCCUCCACGAAGUGUUCUGGGGCGGCGUCGCCUCCACUGCGCUGUACUGCCUAGUGCUCCGCUUCCUCGCCCAGAUGGAACAGCUUUGCCGACACGCGCAGGUGGAGGAGAAUUUGUCUCCACCGCGCUACGAGGAGGCCGCCGCCGCGCAUGUCGCAACGCAGCUCUCUUCGUUGGCUUGUUCGUCACCGUUGUCUUCACCACAACUCUCCAUGCCACACCCAGCCAACGAGUCUUUCGCAGCGUUUACCCCAGUUCCAGCCGGCACGGCUUCCACUGCUCGCGGCCUCAACAGGCUAAGCGCGGCGGCAGCCGUUCCUUCAUAUGUACCCAGCUGGGUUGUGAAUAGCAGGAAGCACGGCUUGAGCAAGUCGUCGUCCUUGUGCGAUAUGGACAAGAACAGCGCGCUGUGCCCUGUCAGUGUGACCGCUUGCUCCCUUUCCGAUUGGAGCACGAUGAGCAGCACGUGCGACGAGGAUAGGGAGGCGGACGACGAGGUGGAUGGCUACACGCAGGCGGGUCUCACGCGCACCUCCGGCGCCACCACCACUGCGACUACACCGAUCUCUCGCACCGCGGCGAGCACACCGAUGCCGGCUGCAAGCGAAGCGCAUGAGGGAGGCACAGCGACCGCAUCGAGUGCCUUGGCACCACCAGUGAGCGUCAAUUCUGCUGCGCUUCGCGAGGGCGUGUUUCCCAGUGCGGAUGGACUUACUCACAUCGCGCGAUCACGGUAUGGCGCGUCGCCAGCGCGUCUACUGCUGAAGCUGUGGAAGUUUCUUUCUGCCGACGCUUUUGCGAACGGGUAUCAGGUAGCAGAUGCCUUUGGAGAUGACACGGUGUGGUGCGACUGCGGCGAGGCGGGCGACUCGGCCGCGCUACCAAAGCAGCUUCCGCUCAUGGCGUCGCUUGAACUGGCCACGAUUGCGGGCAUGAGCAGCGCCGACCUCUCCGCUGCAUCUUUUCGGCUUCCUGAGCUAAUGGCACUCUUUCGCCACUCGAGCACGUCACUGGAGAACAUGCUCCGGUAUCAGCGCUACCCGCGGCGCACCGUGCCAACGAUGCUCUCUACCAUCUUUGUAGACCCUCGGCUGCCGACUAACUCUUGAAGGAGCGUGGUGGCGCUGUAGAUCUGUUCUCUUCUUUCGCUGAGCUCGUAGUGAUCAUGAGGUUACACCUCAGUGUGGUAUCUCGGGGUUCAAGAGCCCCCCACACGGCGUGCGAGGAAGCCAAGCAGCCCCCCUAUCCCUGCCAUAUACCCCUGCCAAUGCCAAACCACUUCUUGUGGUGGCAGGGUCACGCACCUACGGCGUAGGGGUGGACAGAGCGAUGCACCGCUGCGGAUGUGGGCGGUCAGGCCGUGGAUGAGGUGGCGUCGGAGCGGCCCGCGACAGUGGGCAGGACUGUGCCAUCCGUAUGCUGAGGCAGAGGGUCCGCGUGACGUGAGCGUAUCCCACCCGGCCUCUCGCUGCCUGCUGGUGGGGAGCCUGAGUGUGUCCCCCCGAGAGGGCGGGACCCGGCGGCGGCUGGCGAAGCGGGCGGGUGUGUAGAGUUUGGGGCAGGGGUCGCGCUCAGGUGGCUGAGCCGGCACAUUGCUGCAGCACGUGUGUCUACGCCUGCAUCGCACCACGCAGAGGGGCCUGCCACAUGCCGGGGUACUUGAGCGGAGUUGACGUCUUGCUCUCUGGCAGAGAAAUGGGCACGCUGAAAGUGUCUCUGUGACCUCGUUGUUUGCGUGAAGUUUCGUCGCGUGUAUAGCGGUCCCACGAGCAGCCUCGUUUGAGGAGUCGGUGCGUGUGUGUGUGUCUCUCUUUGCUUCUGUGUGCGAUUCACAAUCUCGUUGUCGACUAUAGCCGGACAACGGCAAAAAG
This 3892-nucleotide unclassified non-coding RNA is filed under the name Leishmania donovani. Its description in RNAcentral is "gene:LdHU3.36.5620(CDS-product:Nucleotidyltransfe rase_domain_containing_protein_putative)". The record is from RNAcentral. Lineage: Eukaryota; Euglenozoa; Kinetoplastea; Trypanosomatida; Trypanosomatidae.